Molecule: ribosomal RNA, 414 nt
Filed under: uncultured microorganism
Description: bacterial SSU rRNA
Rfam family: Archaeal small subunit ribosomal RNA
Source: RNAcentral
CAGCCGCCGCGGUAAUACCGGCGGCCCGAGUGGCGGUCACUAUUAUUGGGCUUAAAGCGUCCGUAGCCGGGUUGGGAAGUCCUCCGGGAAAUCUGGCCGCUUAACGGUCAGAAUGCCGGAGGAUACUCCCAGCCUAGGGACCGGGAGAGGCCGAGGGUAUUCCCGGAGUAGGGGUGAAAUCCUAUAAUCCCGGGAGGACCACCUGUGGCGAAGGCGCUCGGCUGGAACGCGUCCGACGGUGAGGGACGAAGGCCAGGGGAGCAAACCGGAUUAGAUACCCGGGUAGUCCUGGCUGUAAACGAUGCGGACUUUGUGUCGGACAAGCUAUGAGCUUGUCCGGUGCCGGAGGGAAACCGUUAAGUCCGCCGCCUGGGGAGUACGGCCGCAAGGCUGAAACUUAAAGGAAUUGGCGGG